ACUCAAAUGAAUAGACGGGGGCCCGCACAAGCAGCGGAGCGUGCGGUUCAAUUCGAUGCGACACGAAGAACCUUACCAGGGUUUGACAUGGAUGUGGUAGGGAAGGGAAACUGGACCGACUCGCAAGAGAGCAUUCACAGGUGAUGCAUGGCUGUCGUCAGCUCGUGCCGUGAGGUGUUGGGUUGAGUCCCGCAACGAGCGCAACCCCUGUCGCCAGUUACAAGUGUCUGGCGAGACUGCCGACGAUUCGUCGGAGGAAGGCGGGGACGAGGUCAAGUCAGCAUGUCCUUUAUAUCCUGGGCGACACGCACGCUACAAUGGGUGUCAAUAGAGCGUUGCCAAGCCGUCAGGCGGAGCAAAUCGCACAAAAGCACCCUCAGUUCAGAUUGACGGCUGCAACCCGCCGUCAUGAAGUCGGAGUUGCUAGUAAACGCGCGUCAGCUAUAGUGCGUUGAAUACGUUCCCGGGCCUUGCACACACCGCCCGU
RNAcentral lists this ribosomal RNA (487 nucleotides) under uncultured bacterium. Its description in RNAcentral is "partial 16S ribosomal RNA". It matches the Rfam family "Bacterial small subunit ribosomal RNA", at positions 899 to 1397 of the family's 1533-position model. The record is from RNAcentral.